This is a long non-coding RNA of Jaculus jaculus (lesser Egyptian jerboa), 545 nucleotides long. RefSeq lists it as uncharacterized. The transcript is spliced from 3 exons. Lineage: Eukaryota; Metazoa; Chordata; Mammalia; Rodentia; Dipodidae. The record is from RefSeq and is a predicted model, not a curated record.
UUUAGGUACCAUGUACAUGUGAGGUGAUGAAGGACCACUAGGUGGCAGCAGAGUCCUAACUCAGGUGUCCAGUUGCUGGGGCACCAAGUCAGGUAACACAAAGAGGAAAAUACAAGAUUGAAAGAAUAGGUUGCUGGAUUACAAAGGGAAAAAGUGGGGCCGGGUGUGGUGGUACAUGCCUUUAAUCCCAGCACACAGGAGGCAGAGGUGGGAGGAUCACCGUGAGUUCAAGGCCACCCUGAGACUACAUAGUGAGUUCCAGCAAUCUCCUUAAUUUUGGGAUCAUCCAGUAGUGAUGGAUCGUCUGGCUUGGCCCUGGAAGCACAAAGAUGACUGAUGUGAAAGAUCACCACGGCUACUACCUGUGAGCAUCCCUCCCACGACAGCCUCAGGGCCUAACGUCAUAGGUUUCUCCUUCUUCGAAGCAGGCAGGAGACACCGAAAGCUUCGUGUCUGCCCCCUGUGUGCACCCAUGGGCUCUGCAGCCUCAGAAUUGAUAAAGGUUGGCCCAGAGCUGCAUGGAAGAAAUGGGACAUUCUCAGAGG